UACGUAGGGGGCAAGCGUUGUCCGGAUUUAUUGGGCGUAAAGAGCGUGUAGGCGGCCUGAAAGGUCAGCUGUGAAAACUCGAGGCUCAACCUCGAGACGUCGGUUGAAACCAUCUGGCUAGAGUCCGGAAGAGGAGUGUGGAAUUCCCGGUGUAGCGGUGAAAUGCGCAGAUAUCGGGAGGAACACCUGUGGCGAAAGCGGCGCACUGGACCAUAACUGACGCUGAGGCGCGAAAGCUAGGGGAGCAAACAGG
This 253-nucleotide ribosomal RNA is filed under the name uncultured bacterium. RNAcentral describes it as "partial 16S ribosomal RNA". It matches the Rfam family "Bacterial small subunit ribosomal RNA", at positions 524 to 776 of the family's 1533-position model. The record is from RNAcentral.